GACGGGUGAGUAACACGUAGGUGACCUGCCCUAAAGAUGGGGACAACGGAUGGAAACAUGCGCUAAUACCCAAUGGACCUGUACUGUCGAAGGUAUAGGUAAAGCUUCGGCGCUUUAGGAGGGGCCUGCGGCCCAUCAGCUAGUUGGUAGGGUAACGGCCUACCAAGGCAAAGACGGGUAGGGGGUGUGAGAGCAUGACCCCCCACAAUGGGACUGAGACACGGCCCAUACUCCUACGGGAGGCAGCAGCAGGGAAUAUUGCACAAUGGACGGAAGUCUGAUGCAGCGACGCCGCGUGGAUGAUGAAGGCCCUCGGGUCGUAAAAUCCUUUUCAGGGGGAAGAGGAAGGACGGUACCCCUGGAAUAAGCGUCGGCUAACUACGUGCCAGCAGCCGCGGUAAGACGUAGGACGCAAGCGUUAUCCGGAUUUACUGGGCGUAAAGCGUCUGUAGGCGGUUGGGUAAGUUGGGCGUGAAAGCUCCGUGCUCAACGCGGAGAGGUCGUUCAAUACUGCCGAACUAGAGGACAUCAGAGGAGCAUGGAAUUUCCGGUGUAGCGGUAAAAUGCGCAGAUAUCGGAAGGAACACCAGUGGCGAAGGCGGUGCUCUGGGGUGUGCCUGACGCUGAGAGACGAAAGCUAGGGGAGCGAACAGGAUUAGAGACCCUGGUAGUCCUAGCCCUAAACGAUGGAUGCUAGAUGUGGGGCCGAGAAGGCUCCGUGUCGCAGUUAACGCGGUAAGCAUCCCGCCUGGGGAUUACGGCCGCAAGGCUAAAACUCAAACGAAUUGACGGGGCCCCGCACAAGCAGCGGAGCGUGUGGUUUAAUUCGAUGCUACACGAAGAACCUUACCUGGGUUUGACAUGUAAGUGGUAGUGAAGCGAAAGCGGAGCGACCCUUCGGGGAGCUUACACAGGUGCUGCAUGGCUGUCGUCAGCUCGUGCCGUGAGGUGUCGGGUUAAGUCCCGUCACGAGCGCAACCCUUGCCCUCAGUUACAAGUGUCUAAGGGGACUGCCGGCGGUAAGCCGGAGGAAGGUGGGGACGACGUCAAGUCAGCAUAGCCCUUAUAUCCAGGCCU
This 1077-nucleotide ribosomal RNA is filed under the name uncultured organism. RNAcentral describes it as "bacterial SSU rRNA". It matches the Rfam family "Bacterial small subunit ribosomal RNA", at positions 100 to 1215 of the family's 1533-position model. The record is from RNAcentral.